Molecule: long non-coding RNA, 1017 nt
Organism: Hibiscus syriacus
Lineage: Eukaryota; Viridiplantae; Streptophyta; Magnoliopsida; Malvales; Malvaceae
Exons: 2
Source: RefSeq, a predicted model, not a curated record
GAAUUAAUUAGACUCUUAAACCGGUUAUCUUCUCCCCCUUCUAUUUUUCCAUCACCUUCCCCAGAAAACCGUCAAAACUCCACCGACCCAUGCCCUCCUCUCCAUUGGCUCGCCGACGAGCUCUCGGUCUGUAACCCAGACCGUCAAUGGCUCCCACCACUUCACAAUCAAGGGCUAUUCCUUAGGCAAAUGCAUGGGUGGAUCGAUCUCUUAUCGAUUUCUUAUCGUUCUUAGUCUUAAUCGAUAUUUGUAUUUUUUUAACGGGAAACUUUACAGUUAUACCGGCACAGGAUAUUUCUGGUGCUGGAAUUCUGUUUACACCUGUGCACAAAUGCUUCAAAAGCACGAGGCCAGUUGGGGGAUAUUUUGCCGAGUCAGUCACUGAUCUUGGAGAACUGCAGGCAUUUGUCCGUAUUUUUGGCUGUUAUGGAGUUGAUAGACUAGAUAGGAUGAUGAAAGAGCACACUGCUGCCCUGUUGAAUUGCAUAGACACAUAAUUACGGUCAAACCGUGAAUUGUUAGAAGCAGUUGCCAGCAGCAUUCAUUUUGGUGACAGAAUAGAAAGGGAGGCUUGUUUGAAGCAAAUUAUGGAUUUGGACACAAUAAUCGGUUUUUGCAUUGAGGCAGGACAGGCCUUGGCUUUUGAUAAACUUUUAGCUGAAGUUUCUGGUGCUGUGCUCAAAGUAGGUGCACCUCUAAUUUAUUCAUUGCUUGCCGGAGUAGUUAAGCAUAUACCUGAAGAAAUACCCGAGAAGAGGGAAAUAAGAAGAAUGAGGGGGUCGCAAACAGUGUUGCUCUUGCUGGUGAUCAUGACUCUGAGUGGGUUAGAUCUAUUUUGGAAGAAGUUGGAGGUGCUAAUGAUGGGUCCUGGAGCUUGUUGCCUUAUUUAUUUGCCACUUUCAUGACAUCAAAUAUCUGGAACACAACCGGAUUCAACGUUGACACGGGGGGUUUCAAUAACAAUAUCCAUUGUUUGGCAAGGUGAGUGUCCUUUCUGAUUUUCUUAUAAUUUAAAAA